Molecule: long non-coding RNA, 329 nt
Organism: Dermacentor albipictus
Lineage: Eukaryota; Metazoa; Arthropoda; Arachnida; Ixodida; Ixodidae
Source: RefSeq, a predicted model, not a curated record
CACGAGUGUGUUGUAGCGGUUACGCCGAGGGACGGCGACGCUCAACCCAGGAACGGGCGCCUAAAUGCGAAGCUGUUAGCCUCUCGUUGGUCAGUAUUGGUCGUAUUUGCGGCCAUGAGCAAAAAAUGUGGGAAUGUCGGCCGAUCCCGGACGUAGUACGAUACCAGAGCGACCAGCGGUGGAGGUCACGGAAGCUUGAAGCACCCGGCAAAGUGAAGCAAAAUGUUGUUUGUCAUCCCACAGGAAUACGACCUCUUCCUCUCUACAUGUGCCAUGUUAUUUUCAUCACUGCACAAUGUUUGGAAACACCAUUGAUAAUAAAGUAUCAC